GCUGUAGUGGUCCAGUGGUAGAAUUCUCACCUUCCAUGUGAGAGGCCCAGGUUCAAUUCCCAGCCAAUGCC
Molecule: transfer RNA, 71 nt
Filed under: Loxodonta africana (African savanna elephant)
Lineage: Eukaryota; Metazoa; Chordata; Mammalia; Proboscidea; Elephantidae
Rfam family: tRNA
About the family: Transfer RNA (tRNA) molecules are approximately 80 nucleotides in length.
Source: Rfam by way of RNAcentral